UACGGAGGGUGCAAGCGUUAAUCGGAAUCACUGGGCGUAAAGCGCGCGUAGGCGGUGAUGAAAGUCAGUGGUGAAAGCCCUCAGCUUAACUGGGGAAUUGCCAUUGAAACUGCAUUGCUUGAGUAUGUGAGAGGAUAGUGGAAUUCCUGGUGUAGGAGUGAAAUCCGUAGAUAUCAGGAGGAACAUCAGUGGCGAAGGCGACUAUCUGGCACAUUACUGACGCUGAGGUGCGAAAGCGUGGGGAGCAAACAGG
Molecule: ribosomal RNA, 253 nt
Filed under: uncultured Pseudomonadota bacterium
Lineage: Bacteria; Pseudomonadati; Pseudomonadota
Also listed under: 1 other name
Description: uncultured proteobacterium partial 16S ribosomal RNA
Rfam family: Bacterial small subunit ribosomal RNA
Source: RNAcentral